UCCUAAUGUUACAAUUUCAACAUGCUUUAUAGAUUCUUGUUAUCUGGAAGUCACUGCGCUAGUCAAUGAAGACUUCAAGUAUGAAGAGGACUUGAUCUUUGCCCUUAAGAAAUUUGAGCGACAGAAAAUCAAUGCUUAGUGCCAACAACUUUUCGUCUGUUCAUUAAAGUAGGAAUUGAUGAGCAUCUUACCACUGAAUCCAGAAGUCAUCUCCUUUAAGGAACCGACCCAGAGCCUAAACCAAUGGGCAAGUCAGCUUACGAAGAACUGUUCAGAUAUUCAGACUAUUAUUCUGGGAGAGAAAAUAUUGGCAGAGAACAGAUGGGAUUUUCUCAAGGAAAAGAAAAUCCUACAUCUUGCAAGAAAUAGAAAAAAAUAAAUAAACUGUUUGAAGAAGAAGCACACCAGGAUGGCAGGAGAGAGCCUGCGGCUGGGCGUCUGACCCGGAAUGUUAAAGCCAGCCUGGCUGGACUCCAGGACGAAGGACACUCUGCCAGCCUCUCCAUAUCGAUUCCUCUCCCCAGUCCCAAGAUCAGGGGAGCAUUCUGUUCCUUGAAGCAUUUUGUGACUAUAAGUCAGAAGUGCUGCAGUUUUAAUAAAGAGCUGUAUUGUCCUGAUCUUGUGCAAUAU
RNAcentral lists this long non-coding RNA (630 nucleotides) under Rhinopithecus bieti (black snub-nosed monkey). Its description in RNAcentral is "lncRNA (ENSRBIG00000046526.1)". Lineage: Eukaryota; Metazoa; Chordata; Mammalia; Primates; Cercopithecidae. The record is from RNAcentral.